AACGAACGCUGGCGGCAUGCUUAACACAUGCAAGUCGAACGGACUUGUGGGGCUUGCUCCACAAGUUAGUGGCAGACGGGUGAGUAACGCGUGGGAAUGUACCUUUUGGUUCGGAAUAACUACGGGAAACUGUGGCUAAUACCGGAUAAGCCCGUGAGGGGAAAGAUUUAUCGCCAAAAGAGCAGCCCGCGUUAGAUUAG
This 200-nucleotide ribosomal RNA is filed under the name uncultured bacterium. RNAcentral describes it as "partial 16S ribosomal RNA". It matches the Rfam family "Bacterial small subunit ribosomal RNA", at positions 29 to 244 of the family's 1533-position model. The record is from RNAcentral.